UAGCCUAGUGGUUAAGGCUAUGGCUCGCCAAUCCAGAGACGGCGGGUUCGAUUCCCGU
Non-coding RNA from Aedes albopictus (Asian tiger mosquito), 58 nucleotides. The record is from Rfam. NCBI's taxonomy places the organism in Eukaryota, Metazoa, Arthropoda, Insecta, Diptera, Culicidae.